AGGUCCGAGAUGUGAUCCUAUUGAACUCGAUGAGAACAAUAAGGAUCUGAUCACCUACAUGGAUACCAUGUAGAGUUCUAACUCUGAUUAGUGGCUUGGAGCCAUAAAGUCUGAAAUGGAGUCCAUGAAGGUCAAUGGUGUAUGGACACUCAUUGAUCCACUCGAAAGAGUAAAGCCCAUAGAGUGUAAGUAGAUCUCCAA
RNAcentral lists this long non-coding RNA (201 nucleotides) under Elaeis guineensis (African oil palm). RNAcentral describes it as "long non-coding RNA (EGUI_LNC077456)". The record is from RNAcentral. Lineage: Eukaryota; Viridiplantae; Streptophyta; Magnoliopsida; Arecales; Arecaceae.